Stegodyphus mimosarum is the source of this 73-nucleotide non-coding RNA. The record is from Rfam. Lineage: Eukaryota; Metazoa; Arthropoda; Arachnida; Araneae; Eresidae.
GCUUUCGUGGUGUAAUGGUCAGCACACUGAGCCGGUAUUUCAGAGGUCCGCGGUUCGAUUCCCGGCGAAGGCG